RNAcentral lists this ribosomal RNA (586 nucleotides) under uncultured bacterium. RNAcentral describes it as "bacterial SSU rRNA". It matches the Rfam family "Bacterial small subunit ribosomal RNA", at positions 338 to 946 of the family's 1533-position model. The record is from RNAcentral.
CCUACGGGAGGCAGCAGUGGGGAAUCUUGCACAAUGGAGGAAACUCUGAUGCAGCGAUGCCGCGUGAGUGAAGAAGGCCUUUGGGUUGUAAAGCUCUUUUGUAGGGGAAGAUAAUGACUGUACCCUAAGAAUAAGGUCCGGCUAACUUCGUGCCAGCAGCCGCGGUAAUACGAAGGGACCUAGCGUAGUUCGGAAUUACUGGGCGUAAAGCGCGCGUAGGCCGUUGAGUUAGUUAAUUGUGAAAUCCCAAAGCUUAACUUUGGAACUGCAAUUAAAACUGCUCGACUAGAGUUUGAUAGAGGAAAGCGGAAUACAUAGUGUAGAGGUGAAAUUCGUAGAUAUUAUGUAGAACACCAGUUGCGAAGGCGGCUUUCUGGAUCAACACUGACGCUGAGGCGCGAAAGUAUGGGUAGCAAAGAGGAUUAGAUACCCUCGUAGUCCAUACCAUAAACGAUGAUUGCUAGAUGUUGGAAAUUUAUUUUCAGUAUCGCAGCUAACGCAUUAAGCAAUCCGCCUGGGGAUACGACCGCAAGGUUAAAACUCAAAGGAAUUGACGGCNGAGAGUGCGACGACGACACGAGGAGAG